Non-coding RNA from Hypoxylon sp. CI-4A, 103 nucleotides. The record is from the annotation of a GenBank genome assembly. Lineage: Eukaryota; Fungi; Ascomycota; Sordariomycetes; Xylariales; Hypoxylaceae.
GCCCGACUAGCUCACCGGUAGAGCGCCUCACUAGUAUGGUCUCGACCUCACGAGAUCCCCUCUCGCAAUGAGGAGGCAACAGGUUCGACUCCUGUGUUGGGCA